GGAGAUAUGGCUCAGUGGUUAAGAGCACUGACUGCUCUUCCAGAGGUCCUGAGUUCAAAUCCCAGCAACCAUA
RNAcentral lists this transfer RNA (73 nucleotides) under Mus musculus (house mouse). Its description in RNAcentral is "tRNA-Ser". Lineage: Eukaryota; Metazoa; Chordata; Mammalia; Rodentia; Muridae. The record is from RNAcentral.